GGGCCUGUAAUCUAGCUGGAUUAAGAGAUGCGUGUUUACGACUGGGAUGUCGCAGGUUCGAAUCCUGCCAGGCCCA
RNAcentral lists this transfer RNA (76 nucleotides) under Promethearchaeota archaeon. RNAcentral describes it as "Candidatus Lokiarchaeota archaeon tRNA-Val". It matches the Rfam family "tRNA". From Rfam's summary of the family: Transfer RNA (tRNA) molecules are approximately 80 nucleotides in length. Their secondary structure includes four short double-helical elements and three loops (D, anti-codon, and T loops). The record is from RNAcentral. Lineage: Archaea; Promethearchaeati; Promethearchaeota.